RNAcentral lists this ribosomal RNA (253 nucleotides) under uncultured bacterium. RNAcentral's name for it is "partial 16S ribosomal RNA". It matches the Rfam family "Bacterial small subunit ribosomal RNA", at positions 524 to 776 of the family's 1533-position model. The record is from RNAcentral.
UACGUAGGGUGCAAGCGUUACUCGGAAUUACUGGGCGUAAAGCGUGCGUAGGUGGUUCGUUAAGUCUGAUGUGAAAGCCCUGGGCUCAACCUGGGAAUGGCAUUGGAAACUGGCGACCUAGAGUGCGGUAGAGGGCAGUGGAAUUCCCGGUGUAGCAGUGAAAUGCGUAGAGAUCGGGAGGAACAUCUGUGGCGAAGGCGACUGCCUGGACCAGCACUGACACUGAGGCACGAAAGCGUGGGGAGCAAACAGG